GAUGGCCGUCGCGGGGCUUCUGGUGGGCUUCGGCUCGGCGCUGGGCUCGGGCUGCACGUCCGGGCACGGCGUGUGCGGGCUCGCACGGCUCUCGCC
This 96-nucleotide transfer RNA is filed under the name Salinarimonas ramus. RNAcentral describes it as "tRNA-Pro". Lineage: Bacteria; Pseudomonadati; Pseudomonadota; Alphaproteobacteria; Hyphomicrobiales; Salinarimonadaceae. The record is from RNAcentral.